CCUACGGGUGGCAGCAGUAGGGAAUAUUGCUCAAUGGGGGAAACCCUGAAGCAGCAACGCCGCGUGGAGGAUGAAGGUUUUCGGAUUGUAAACUCCUUUUGUCAGAGAAGAUAAUGACGGUAUCCAACGAAUAAGCACCGGCUAACUCCGUGCCAGCAGCCGCGGUAAUACGGAGGGUGCAAGCGUUACUCGGAAUCACUGGGGGUAAAGAGCGCGUAGGCGGGGUAGCAAGUCAGAUGUGAAAUCCUAUGGCUUAACCAUAGAACUGCAUUUGAAACUGGUAUUCUAGAGUAUGGGAGAGGUAGGUGGAAUUCUUGGUGUAGGGGUAAAAUCCGUAGAGAUCAAGAGGAAUACUCAUUGCGAAGGCGGCCUGCUGGAACAUAACUGACGCUGAUGCGCGAAAGCGUGGGGAGCAAACAGGAUUAGAUACCCGAGUAGUC
Molecule: ribosomal RNA, 440 nt
Filed under: uncultured bacterium
Lineage: Bacteria
Description: partial 16S ribosomal RNA
Rfam family: Bacterial small subunit ribosomal RNA
Source: RNAcentral